Molecule: ribosomal RNA, 484 nt
Filed under: uncultured Bacteroidota bacterium
Lineage: Bacteria; Pseudomonadati; Bacteroidota
Description: bacterial SSU rRNA
Rfam family: Bacterial small subunit ribosomal RNA
Source: RNAcentral
GGAAUAUUGGGCAAUGGACGGAAGUCUGACCCAGCCAUGCCGCGUGCAGGAUGAAGGCCUUCUGGGUUGUAAACUGCUUUUAUCUGGGAAGAAAACACCUAUGCGUAGGAAACUGACGGUACCAGAUGAAUAAGCACCGGCUAACUCCGUGCCAGCAGCCGCGGUAAUACGGAGGGUGCAAGCGUUGUCCGGAUUUAUUGGGUUUAAAGGGUGCGUAGGCGGCCCGUUAAGUCCGUGGUGAAAGCCUCCAGCUCAACUGGAGAACUGCCAUGGAUACUGGCGGGCUUGAGUACAGACGAGGUUGGCGGAAUUGAUUGUGUAGCGGUGAAAUGCAUAGAUACAAUCAAGAACUCCGAUUGCGUAGGCAGCUAACUAGGCUGUAACUGACGCUGAGGCACGAAAGCGUGGGGAGCGAACAGGAUUAGAUACCCUGGUAGUCCACGCUGUAAACGAUGAUUACUCGAUGUUGGCGAUAAACUGUCAG